Molecule: ribosomal RNA, 465 nt
Filed under: Vreelandella stevensii
Lineage: Bacteria; Pseudomonadati; Pseudomonadota; Gammaproteobacteria; Oceanospirillales; Halomonadaceae
Description: partial 16S ribosomal RNA
Rfam family: Bacterial small subunit ribosomal RNA
Source: RNAcentral
CCUACGGGAGGCAGCAGUGGGGAAUAUUGGACAAUGGGGGGAACCCUGAUCCAGCCAUGCCGCGUGUGUGAAGAAGGCCCUCGGGUUGUAAAGCACUUUCAGUGAGGAAGAACGCCUGGUGGUUAAUACCCAUCAGGAAAGACAUCACUCACAGAAGAAGCACCGGCUAACUCCGUGCCAGCAGCCGCGGUAAUACGGAGGGUGCGAGCGUUAAUCGGAAUUACUGGGCGUAAAGCGCGCGUAGGUGGCCUGAUAAGCCGGUUGUGAAAGCCCCGGGCUCAACCUGGGAACGGCAUCCGGAACUGUCAAGCUAGAGUGCAGGAGAGGAAGGUAGAAUUCCCGGUGUAGCGGUGAAAUGCGUAGAGAUCGGGAGGAAUACCAGUGGCGAAGGCGGCCUUCUGGACUGACACUGACACUGAGGUGCGAAAGCGUGGGUAGCAAACAGGAUUAGAUACCCGAGUAGUC